RNAcentral lists this transfer RNA (71 nucleotides) under Ipomoea nil (Japanese morning glory). It matches the Rfam family "tRNA". From Rfam's summary of the family: Transfer RNA (tRNA) molecules are approximately 80 nucleotides in length. Lineage: Eukaryota; Viridiplantae; Streptophyta; Magnoliopsida; Solanales; Convolvulaceae. The record is from Rfam by way of RNAcentral.
GCAAUAGUGGUCUAGUGGUAAAAUAGUACCCUACCGUGGUACAGACCCGGGUUUGAUUCCCGAUUGGUGCA